CUCCAUUUUACAAGACUAAGCCAUCUCUUGUUAACAUCAUGUUAUUGCAUAUCAUGGGCUGAAAUAUCACCAAUCUAUCCAAAGGCGUCAUAUUCUAAAAAGGCAUCAUCCUCGUAGUUGGAAGACACCAUGCCAUGGUCUGGGGAUCUCUCCCAAUUUUUUACAUUAUUAUUCAAUGGCGUCAUAGUUCAGAGGCACCAUCCUCAUGGCUCGAGAACAUCAUUUCAUGGCCUGCAAAUCUCUCACUAAAUAAUUCAUGGCCCAGGACCUCAUCUUUAACCAUCCAAAGACGACUUUCACGGUCAAAAAGGGAAUCUGCAUCAUGCUUAAAUUUUUGCAAGUACAUGUUCGUAGCAUCUUAAUGUCUGUUGGUGACCAGUGAGAAACUGUUAUCCUAGCAUGAACGACCUUGGCCCAGUCCCUUCAACUAUCUCAAACUUGACUAACCACUCUUGCAUCCUUUCUAAAAUCUCGUAUUUUCGUCCUUGUAAUUACUUUAUAGGUAUAUUCCGCCAAUGAAUCUUGAACUACACAUGGCCUGAUUCCUAUAAAACCAGGGAUAUGUAGGCAGCUCAGAAGCCAUGGUGCGGCCUAACCUCUUGAACUAUUUCGCUUAGUCAAAACUGGCCAUUAUAUCUCUAUCCGACAACUCUUUCAUUCUUUUCGGGUAAAGAGGGGUAGCUGUUGAUACCUAAUUUUUCCCAAAAAAAUAUUUCAAAUUGCAUAUAUGUCUUCAAAAUCAUGCAUUAAUUAGCAACUGAUAUUUUCCCACAAAUUUCCUAUAUUUUUAUUAAUUUACCCAACAUUUUCUUUCUAAUAAAUAAUUACAAAAUGGCAUUACAAAUGAUUUGAUAAUCAUUUCUUGAUUUAAUUUAUUAUUCAUG
This 884-nucleotide long non-coding RNA is filed under the name Nicotiana benthamiana. RNAcentral describes it as "long non-coding RNA (NBEN_LNC006808)". The record is from RNAcentral. Lineage: Eukaryota; Viridiplantae; Streptophyta; Magnoliopsida; Solanales; Solanaceae.